Molecule: long non-coding RNA, 3988 nt
Filed under: Vitis vinifera (wine grape)
Lineage: Eukaryota; Viridiplantae; Streptophyta; Magnoliopsida; Vitales; Vitaceae
Description: long non-coding RNA (VVIN_LNC006675)
Source: RNAcentral
CUUGGUUAACUGCAGUAGGUUCCGCAAUUUCAAUAUUGAUGCCUCUGAAAGUCCAAACUUGAAAGAGCUGGCUAUCAUAGAGACCAAGGUUGAUCUUGCUAGAUCCACUGGAAUGGAUAUCUGUGCACCAAGUGUUGAAAAAUUGGUCUUCUUAUAUGCUUCACCCAGGAGAGAAUAUCAUGUAAAGGAUGUAUCAAACUGCCUUGAGUUUACCUUUGCUCUAUCCGACCAGCCCCAUGAGUAUUUGUGGAAGGAAGUGGGAGAGGAGUUGUUGUCGUUGAGAUAUCAUGUUGUAUUACUCAAUCUUCUUCCACAUUUUCAACACGUCAGAGUUCUCAGAAUCUGCAAUUGGUGUGUUCAGGUAUCAGCUUCUUUCAAAACAUUUUAUCAUAGCUUUUUCUGCAGAAUUUCCAGUACCAUACAAACUUUCAUUCACAAACUAUAUGUUUUCUGCAGAGUCUUUAUAAAGCUGAGGUCUAUGAUAAGACGAGGAGCAGGGUAUCCCUCUCUUGUACCAACCUGGAAAUAAAUACAUCAUUUCAGAGGUGGGAACUACCGGGAGUCACCUACAUGCUCAAAGCUUGCUCUGCCAUUGAGGAUCUGUGCUUUGUUAUGGCCCCAAAACAGAGUCAGGUAACAGUGAAGGAGCGAAGGUAACAUAUAUAUUGUAACUCAUCUGUAUUGCAAUUCUAAAGAUAUUUCUUGGCUUGUGAACAUUCAGAUCCCCCAACUGUUUCUGAAGCCAGAUGAUUUUGAAGAAAGAAUAUAUUGGAGAAACGAAGCGAAGUCUUUGGUGAUGGCCCACUUGCAGAACCUCAAAAUUAUGACAUUCAAAUUGCCUGGAGAGUGUUAUCACAGUUGGAAACUUUGGCCUCUGGACUUACGCACCUUCUUUAUGGGAAGAGAGAAUGGAGUUGAACUACUGGCAGCUCUUAAGCACAGCUCCAACAAUCAAUUACGCGUUGUUUUGUCCACUGAUAAACAGCAUCGACGUUUUCUUAUUAGGCAGUAAAGGGUUAAUCCUAGAUCCUUAUAGAACAAUUCUGGAGCAAGGUUGCAGUCAGCAACACAGUUAUUUCAUCCAUUGAAGGCAAUUUUGAAAGAACAAAAUCUCGAACUUCCAGAGUAAAAUCUUCAUCCAAAAGAAUACUUGUGUGAUUUGAUAUCAAAAUGCAGAAUUUGAAUGCCACACCCCUAAUGUAAGUAUUCGAUCCCACACCCUACACUAAGUGCAAUCAUACAUAGGGGUCUCGUUUUGAUCCUUUUAUGUAAAAUCGAACAAAUCCUACCAUACUAACACGAUGAACCGUUGUGCCCAAGCCUGAAGAUAUAUGUCAGAUAAUGCUUCUUCUUCUUUUCUUUUCUUUUCCUUUUUUUUUUUUUUUCCAAAAACAUGGUUGACUUGACAACCAUUCCAUGGACUGUUUAAGAAUAUGAAUUUUUGGUUUUCUAGUUAGUCCAAUAAUAGGAUUCUUGGGUUAUGUUUGGUUUCUGGAAAGUAUUAAAAAAAAAAAUGUUAAGGAAAAUGAUUUUCUCAUGUUUGAUUGUCCUAUGAAAAAUAUCAAAGAAAAUCCAAUAUAAUUAAAACUAGUUAGGAAUUUAUGCAUUUUCACUUUUGCUUUCCUCUUACUUUUCAUCUCUAUUUUCUUUUCCUUACAUUUUCCCUCAAAUUUUCCAGGAACCAAACAUAUUCUUGGAGUUUUUGAUCCUAAUGAACACUAGAUAUAAAGGGUUCAUCCUAAAAAAAUGUUGUUCUCUAAAACAGCAAAUAGUCCAAAGUGAAGAGCCUACCUCAGUGGAAGUGAAUAGUUUGUAGAAUUCAGGAAGUACCAUAAUUUCCAAGAUUCUUGCGUUAUUAACUAUUGUCUUGCAUAUAAUUCUUAGAAUGUGUGAUAUUAUAAUUCACAAUACAGUAAGAUAAAAAACGUCAUGGUUAGUUUUAAGGAUUCCAAAUGGAGGUACAAGUCUGAUAUAAUUCUAUUUUUCCAAGACACUUGAACACAUCAACAUCUAUGAAAGUGAAAAUACAAGUAUAGACAGAUGGCAAGACUCUCUUUCUGCAGCAGAUGCAGGGAGAGGAGUUGCAGGGUAGCACUCUGCUGCUAAAGCAAAACAGCAGCAUGGCAUGGGAAACUGCAUGCCAUGGGAGAAGUUCAGCACAAGUCAUAAGGCAGCAGGAGCUAGUCGUAAGCAAUGAUUGGCAUCUUGGCAGUUGACCACCAAGCACAAGCACCAUUGGUGCAAGUGAAGCAAUGGAUGAGCCAUGUGUUCAGCAGAAACAGUAAGGUGUUCAGGUGCUGCAAUGCAGCAUUGCUGAAAGCAAGACCCAGUCAUCAGGGAUUGAGACAAUUGGUUCCAUCUUAGAGCACUCAUGUAACUACCUCUACUGCCUUGUUGGCAUGGCUGAUCAGGAGGCCUAAACCUAGUUGUGAAUUUGUAACUACCCAAGGCUGCCUAGAAUUAGCCAAGGCAUUAUUCUGCCCUUACUCUUAUCGGGUUGCUGGUGGUCUUAUGGAACCCAAGGCCAAUUUCCUUCUAACAUUGUUAUGGAAGCCUAAACCGUAAUUUAGUGUAGCCUAGCAGUGUUUUUGAAUUGGAUUGGAUUGGAUGCUCAAGAAAAGGACAUAAAAUGAAUCAUUUACAGUUCCUAAAAAGUGGGAAUCCAUUCAUCCAAGGCUCCUAAGUGUUAGAUAGCCUAACUCUACAAUCCACGAUGCCUUCAUGGAGAAAAUGGGUACACAACCCAAGUACAUAGAUAGUAUGCAUGUCACAACAGUAUGUCAAGAAACAAGACUAGAUGAGAAAAACAAAUACAUAAAAAGUCAUCCUUUCCUCUGCUGCCAGUGAUCUCUACUUAAAGGGUCUUUCUAUCAGCACUAACUUCUACCAACCAAACCGACACCCAUUUAGACAGAAUGGUAAUGAGGAACAGAAUGACUACUCUACGAUCAUCAAUCACAGAGACAGGCCAUAGUCUCUAUAAAUGCAUUCUGAAAUUAUGGCUACCCAAUGGGGACUAAAAACUGGUACAUUGUAGGUCAAGCUACAAGGGGUGGAGAUGUUUGGCAAAAUUAUGAAUCCAGGCAGCAAAGGAGCUAAAGAGGAGUCCCAAUUCAACCCAAGAUCAGUUCCUAUAAUGUAGCAUAUUAACUAAGCAAGUCUAAUUCAUGAAAACUUAGGGGUUAGUAGGCAGAGGUUCAUACAAAACCAAACUCCGAAUUAAUGUGGAAAACUAUGUGGUUUUGUAAGUAACUGCCUACUUCAAUUCCCCAAUUUAAUGAAAAAGCGAUGUUGAAAGCCAUAGCCUGAUGGGAUUUUCAAUAAAUAAAAAAAGGCUUAUUUUACAUGAGGUCUGAUCUUUGUCGAUUGCAAGGAAAAGCAGUAUGGAAACCCUAAUUACAUCAACAAUUACAUAAUUCUUAACGGUAGGUUAAAAUGAAUAUCGUUUAAAAGCGUAAGAGCUUCGGGGCUUCAAACUCUGCGUUUCUUCAGCACAUAUACAGUUCUCUCGUAACUAGCUACCAUCCAUCGAUUCAAAUCAACUUCGAGUUUCAAAACAUCAUCCACACUCAUAAAAACCAAUCAAGAACUCCAAUUAAUUUUCAGGAAUGAAAAAUUACGACAUAAUUAAAUUAAUCCAUCAACGCAAUUUAAUCAUAUUGCAGAGAUUGAAAACGCAUGUUAUAUACAAACUAUUCACUAAAUAACUGAACUUAGAAAAUUUUUCUAAAAACUUUCCUGUUAUUCAAACAACAAUACCAAUCCAAAGCCUAGCAACUACCCAGUUAUCAAAUAUUUAACUGAUAAUCUUACUAAUCAUAGCUUGGGAAGUUAAAGCUAAACUCACCUGAGAUUGGUAUCAUCUAAUUCUUCACUUUUUUAGUUUCUCCAAUUUUCUUUCUUUCCGAACACUUUUUUUUACCUCCUCUUUUUUCCCUCCUCCGGAAGCAAACGAAGGGAAUUUGUAUAUAUAUAUAGUGAAAAUUUU